UCCAGACUCCUACGGGAGGCAGCAGUGAGGAAUAUUGGUCAAUGGGCUUACGCCUGAACCAGCCAAGUCGCGUGAGGGAAGACUGCCCUAUGGGUUGUAAACCUCUUUUGUCAGGGAGCAACGCCGGCUACGUGUAGCCGGACUGAGAGUACCUGAAGAAAAAGCAUCGGCUAACUCCGUGCCAGCAGCCGCGGUAAUACGGAGGAUGCGAGCGUUAUCCGGAUUUACUGGGUGUAAAGGGAGCGUAGACGGCAGUGCAAGUCCGGAGUGAAAGCCCGGGGCUCAACCCUGGGACUGCUCUGGAAACUGUAAAGCUGGAGUGCGGGAGGGGCAGGCGGAAUUCCUGGUGUAGCGGUGAAAUGCGUAGAUAUCAGGAGGAACACCGGCGGCGAAGGCGGCCUGCUGGACCGUAACUGACGUUGAGGCUCGAAAGCGUGGGGAGCAAACAGGAUUAGAUACCCUGGUA
Molecule: ribosomal RNA, 466 nt
Filed under: uncultured bacterium
Lineage: Bacteria
Description: bacterial SSU rRNA
Rfam family: Bacterial small subunit ribosomal RNA
Source: RNAcentral